Molecule: ribosomal RNA, 497 nt
Filed under: uncultured bacterium
Lineage: Bacteria
Description: partial 16S ribosomal RNA
Rfam family: Bacterial small subunit ribosomal RNA
Source: RNAcentral
GAUGAACGCUGGCGGCGUGCCUAAUACAUGCAAGUCGAGCGAACGGACGAGAAGCUUGCUUCUCUGAUGUUAGCGGCGGACGGGUGAGUAACACGUGGAUAACCUCCCUAUAAGACUGGGAUAACUUCGGGAAACCGGAGCUAAUACCGGAUAAUAUUUUGAACCGCAUGGUUCAAAAGUGAAAGACGGUCUUGCUGUCACUUAUAGAUGGAUCCGCGCUGCAUUAGCUAGUUGGUAAGGUAACGGCCUACCAAGGCAACGAUGCAUAGCCGACCUGAGAGGGUGAUCGGCCACACUGGAACUGAGACACGGUCCAGACUCCUACGGGAGGCAGCAGUAGGGAAUCUUCCGCAAUGGGCGAAAGCCUGACGGAGCAACGCCGCGUGAGUGAUGAAGGUCUUCGGAUCGUAAAACUCUGUUAUUAGGGAAGAACAUAUGUGUAAGUAACUGUGCACAUCUUGACGGUACCUAAUCAGAAAGCCACGGCUAACUACGUG